UUUCCUACGGGAGGCAGCAGUGGGGAAUCUUGCGCAAUGGGCGAAAGCCUGACGCAGCAACGCCGCGUGGGGGACGAAGGCUCUCGGGUUGUAAACCCCUUUCAGGAGGGACGAAAUUGACGGUACCUCCAGAAGAAGCCCCGGCCAACUACGUGCCAGCAGCCGCGGUAACACGUAGGGGGCGAGCGUUGUCCGGAUUUAUUGGGCGUAAAGAGCUCGUAGGUGGCUCGGUAAGUCGGGUGUGAAAUUUCGAGGCUCAACCCCGAGACGCCACCUGAGACUGCGGUGGCUAGAGUCCGGUAGGGGAGCGUGGAAUUCCUGGUGUAGCGGUGAAAUGCGCAGAUAUCAGGAGGAACACCAGCGGCGAAGGCGGCGCUCUGGGCCGGUACUGACACUGAGGAGCGAAAGCGUGGGGAUCAAACAGGAUUAGAUACCCCAGUAGUCAU
This 446-nucleotide ribosomal RNA is filed under the name uncultured Acidimicrobiales bacterium. RNAcentral's name for it is "bacterial SSU rRNA". It matches the Rfam family "Bacterial small subunit ribosomal RNA", at positions 335 to 797 of the family's 1533-position model. Lineage: Bacteria; Bacillati; Actinomycetota; Acidimicrobiia; Acidimicrobiales. The record is from RNAcentral.